Gossypium raimondii (Peruvian cotton) is the source of this 107-nucleotide small nucleolar RNA. It matches the Rfam family "Plant small nucleolar RNA R71". Rfam says of the family: R71 is a member of the C/D box family of snoRNAs containing the C (UGAUGA) and D (CUGA) box motifs. Multiple nearly identical copies of this snoRNA have been identified in Arabidopsis, and it is thought to function as a 2'-O-ribose methylation guide for 18S ribosomal RNA. The record is from Rfam. NCBI's taxonomy places the organism in Eukaryota, Viridiplantae, Streptophyta, Magnoliopsida, Malvales, Malvaceae.
AUUCCGUGAUGAGGGCAGUUCCAUGAUAAUUCUUUUUACGUUUCCCGUGCCUCAUACAAUGACUCAUCAUCCAUUUAUUGGAAAACAGUGAUCUCGUUCCUCAACUU